CCUACGGGAGGCAGCAGUGAGGAAUAUUGGUCAAUGGGCGAGAGCCUGAACCAGCCAAGUCGCGUGAGGGAGUACUGCCCUAUGGGUUGUAAACCUCUUUUGUCGGGGAGCAAAAGCCGGACGUGUCCGGCUGUGAGAGUACCCGAAGAAAAAGCAUCGGCUAACUCCGUGCCAGCAGCCGCGGUAAUACGGGGGAUGCGAGCGUUAUCCGGAUUUAUUGGGGUUAAAGGGUGCGGAGGCGGAUUUUUAAGUCAGCGGUCAAAUCGUGGGGCUCAACCCCAUCUAGCCGUUGAAACUGGGGAUCUAGAGUGUGCGAGAGGUAUGCGGAAUGCGUGGUGUAGCGGUGAAAUGCAUAGAUAUCACGCAGAACCCCGAUUGCGAAGGCAGCAUACCGGUGCACAACUGACGCUCAGGCACGAAAGCGUGGGUAUCGAACAGGAUUAGAUACCCGAGUAGUC
Molecule: ribosomal RNA, 458 nt
Filed under: uncultured bacterium
Lineage: Bacteria
Description: partial 16S ribosomal RNA
Rfam family: Bacterial small subunit ribosomal RNA
Source: RNAcentral